Molecule: long non-coding RNA, 360 nt
Filed under: Pan troglodytes (chimpanzee)
Lineage: Eukaryota; Metazoa; Chordata; Mammalia; Primates; Hominidae
Description: lincRNA
Source: RNAcentral
GCCCCCAGCAGGAAGUGGCUGGCUCAGGAGGUGGUGUCUCAGAUUCCAAGGCAGAAGUCACUGAGAAGUUGUUCAGUGACCAGGGUCAAGGGUUGGCCGUUUCUAAGGCUGAGUGUGGCAGAGGGCACCAGGAGCUUGUCCUGCUGGUGGAGCUGGGGAACCCCAGGACCCGUGGGCCUCAAACCUGGGCCAGGAGUGAGGAGCUGGCCUCCCCUAGGCUGAACUUGACUCACAGACCGGUUUGGUGUGGGCCAUCCAGUUGAAAGGAGUUGUCAAUGUUUCAUAUUUGCUAGGCUUCACAGAAAAUUUAAACUUGGAAUAUUUUUCUGAAAAUGUGGAUGACCAGGACCAAGUUAUUCU